RNAcentral lists this ribosomal RNA (253 nucleotides) under uncultured bacterium. RNAcentral describes it as "partial 16S ribosomal RNA". It matches the Rfam family "Bacterial small subunit ribosomal RNA", at positions 524 to 776 of the family's 1533-position model. The record is from RNAcentral.
UACGGAGGGGGCUAGCGUUGUUCGGAAUUACUGGGCGUAAAGCGCACGUAGGCGGACUGUUAAGUCGGGGGUGAAAUCCUGGGGCUCAACCUCAGAAUUGCCUCCGAUACUGGCAGUCUCGAGUGCGGGAGAGGUGAGUGGAAUUCCCAGUGUAGAGGUGAAAUGCGUAGAUAUUGGGAAGAACACCGGUGGCGAAAGCGCGCGACUGGACCUGAACUGACACUGAGGGACGAAAGCUAGGGGAGCGAAAGGG